GGCACGUAAAGCCCAUUAGCAUGGGAGGGAGGUUUAGUACCACAUUGCUAGUUGAUGUGGGAUGGUGAGACUUUUCUCCCUAUAUAUUAAACCAACCUCUCAUGGCAACUCCACACAAAAAUAUAGACUACCCAUAGUGAGGCUCCUUGUUUGGGAAUCCCUAAAAUAAUCUUUUCCCUAGAAUCCCACCAUCCUCCGCAUCCAUGCAUCUCCGGUGAAAUCCGACACCACUCUAGUGCUCAGCUCGUCGUCCUCUUCAUCGUGGUGUCUUCCUUCUCUUCAUUCGUCGCUGAGAAGCUCCGUCGUCGCGAAAACCUGAACUAUGGCCGCUUUGUUGCAGCAUGGGAGAGCACCUUCACGUAUUUUCCCUUGCUCUCUUUCUCUUAUUAUUAAAUCGUGGGGCCAGCUAGCCAGUCCCAUCUCGUUGUUUUCUCUCGUGCUUAACUAAAACUCAAACGGAGUCAAAGUCUUACCCACCAACAUUCUGGUUGUACACAGCACGUGAGGCCUGGUUCACUUGGCCUUAUAGAAGAAACAAACAAAAAAGAGAAGGCCGAGCCUCCCUGCGAUCUGCUCUUGCUCCGUCGGCCCAAGCCUACACGAGGCCCUGCUACCCCGAACAGCAGCCGUCCCAGUCGAGUCUGGCCUGGGCACGAGCCAUCGCCGUUCCUGGCGUGCACGCCACGCCCGGCCAGGGUGUUGCGCCAUAUAAAUCCCGAGGCCAAAUCCCCUGUGACCUGCCGUAGCAUCGCCGGCCCUAGGCCAUCGCGAUCCCCUCGGCCCCGCACCUCCCUGCUGCUCGCAUCUCUCCGGGCUCCCUGUCCUCUCGAGCACAGCGCCGCCGCCAGAAAGCCGAGCGCCCUAGUCUUCCCCGCAGACCCCCCAUCGCGCAUCCCCUCCCAGCCAGUGCUACUGCGUGUUGGAGCCGAGAGCCCAGACCUCCAGCGAUCUGGCCUCCUGCUAGAGCCCUACACCUCGCCUUCUGUCAUGGCCCUGGGAAAUCACGAGCACAAGGGCCCUGCACGUAACAUCUUGUCUCACUCGUUCCCGGCCAUCGAUCACCGCCGCCGUCUCCGAGCAGACCAUGGGCGUCUCUUCCUGACCAGAUUCCAGGCACUACGAUGCAUCGGACAGCGAGCUUUUGUCCGCCAGCCACAGAGGAGCCCGAGUUUUGCAGAUUGACCCCUGAAAUCUGCAGUUAAUAGCAAGUAGGUCCAUGCAGCCUUGUUUCUCCCAUAGAAUCACCGUUUUAGCUCCGUUUUCCGCGUUUCUUACGUUGUCGUAACCGUAACAAUGAGCCUUAUCCUUUAGUACGUUCUUUUAAAGCCUUUCUUUUGUUAUGGUGUAAUGUUCUUAGUUGUAACUUUUUGUUUGCUUUGUAUGGUUGCCCGAUGAUUGCUCCGAGUAGAAGGAUCGUUGUUCGAAGUUGAAGAUC
Long non-coding RNA from Panicum virgatum (switchgrass), 1435 nucleotides. RefSeq lists it as uncharacterized. The record is from RefSeq and is a predicted model, not a curated record. The transcript has 3 exons. NCBI's taxonomy places the organism in Eukaryota, Viridiplantae, Streptophyta, Magnoliopsida, Poales, Poaceae.